UCGCAUCACCGGAAAGGACGGACACCCGGCACCGCCCUUUCCACCGGAGGCCCCGACCACCCGUCGGGGCCUCUUUUUUUC
RNAcentral lists this small RNA (81 nucleotides) under Rhodovulum sp. PH10. RNAcentral describes it as "Bradyrhizobiaceae sRNA BjrC68". It matches the Rfam family "Bradyrhizobiaceae sRNA BjrC68". Lineage: Bacteria; Pseudomonadati; Pseudomonadota; Alphaproteobacteria; Rhodobacterales; Paracoccaceae. The record is from Rfam by way of RNAcentral.